GAGUUUGAUCCUGGCUCAGGAUGAACGCUGGCGGCGUGCUUAACACAUGCAAGUCGAACGAUGAUCCCAGCUUGCUGGGGGAUUAGUGGCGAAMGGKUGAGUAACACGUGAGUAACCYSCCCUUGACUCUGGGAUAAKCCUGGGAAACUGGGUCUAAUACCGGAUAUGACUCCUCAUCSCWUGGUGGGGGGUGGAAAGCUUUUGUGGUUUURGAUGGACUCGCGGCCUAUCAGCUUGYWGGUGGGGUAAUGGCCUACCAAGGCGAYGACKGKUAGCCGGCCUGAGAGGGUGACCGKCCACA
RNAcentral lists this ribosomal RNA (301 nucleotides) under Arthrobacter sp. Li3-1. Its description in RNAcentral is "partial 16S ribosomal RNA". It matches the Rfam family "Bacterial small subunit ribosomal RNA", at positions 9 to 312 of the family's 1533-position model. Lineage: Bacteria; Bacillati; Actinomycetota; Actinomycetes; Micrococcales; Micrococcaceae. The record is from RNAcentral.